UCCCAUUCUGUCAGGUAGCUUAUCAGACUGGUGUUGGCUGUAAGUCAUAUGGCAACAUCAGUCUAAUAGGCUGCCUGAAAUUUUGGGCUU
MicroRNA precursor from Cyprinus carpio carpio, 90 nucleotides. The record is from Ensembl. Lineage: Eukaryota; Metazoa; Chordata; Actinopteri; Cypriniformes; Cyprinidae.